GUGAAAUUGUUGAAAGGGAAACGCUUGAAACCAGUCAUGUGGUUGGAAAAUCAGUGUUCAAUUGGGGGGAAUGGGGGAGGUGUGGACCGCAAGGCUGCUCUUUUCUAUAUCUCUUUUGUCGGGCAUGCACUUUUUCUUCUGCAGGUCAACAUCAGUUUCUUUUGCUGGACAAAACUCUUGAGAAGGUAGCAGCUUAGGCUGUGUUAUAGCUCUGGAGCGAUACAGUGGAGGAGACUGAGGUUUUCGCAGCAUGUGCUCUCGGGCAAGGCCAGUUGGGUGCUAUGGGAUCGUUCGGGGUACAAUACAUGUAUUUUGCUUCGUGUCUUUUCUAUACUCGUUCAAUUGAGCUCUUCCAUGCUUAGGAUGUUGACUUAAUGGUUUUAAUCGACCCGUCUUGAAACACGGACCAAGGAGUCUAACAUAUAUGCAAGUGUUUGGGUGGCAAACCCAUGCGCGUAAUGAAAGUGAACGUAGGUGCCAUCCGCAAGGUGCAGCAUCGACCGAUCUUGAUAUUUUUGGAUAGAUUUGAGUAAGAGCAUAUAUGCUGGGACCCGAAAGAUGGUGAACUAUGCCUGAAUAGGGUGAAGCCAGAGGAAACUCUGGUGGAGGCUCGUAGCGAUUCUGACGUGCAAAUCCAUCGUCAAAUUUGGGUAUAGGGGCGAAAGACU
Molecule: ribosomal RNA, 668 nt
Filed under: uncultured fungus
Lineage: Eukaryota; Fungi
Description: LSU rRNA
Rfam family: Eukaryotic large subunit ribosomal RNA
Source: RNAcentral